UCUGGUUGAUCCUGCCUGAACUGAUGUGUUUAUUUCAAAGAUUAAGCCAUGCAUGUCUAAGUUUAAACGUAAUUUAACGUGAAACCGCGAACGGCUCAUUAAAUCAGCUAUGAUCUACUUGAUUUUGACUCUAUCCUACUUGGAUAACUGUGGUAAUUCUAGAGCUAAUACAUGCAUAAAUGCUCUGACCUUACGGAAAGAGUGCAUUUAUUAGAGCAAAACCAAGCGGCCGCAAGGUCGUGUUUUGCUGACUCAGAAUAACUACUAGCUGAUCGCAUGGUCUUUGUACCGGCGACGUGUCUUUCGAGUAUCUGCCUUAUCAAUUUUCGAUGGUAGUGUAUUGGACUACCAUGGUGUUGACGGGUAACGGAGAAUAAGGGUUCGACUCCGGAGAAGGGGCCUGAGAAAUGGCCACUACGUUUAAGGAUGGCAGCAGGCGCGCAAAUUACCCACUCUCGGAAAGAGGAGGUAGUGACGAGAAAUAAUGAGACCGUUCUCUUUGAGGCCGGUUAUCGUAAUGGGUACAAUCUAAACCCUUUAACGAGUAUCUAUGAGAGGGCAAGUCUGGUGCCAGCAGCCGCGGUAAUACCAGCUCUCAAAAUGCAUAGAACCAUUGCUGCGGUUAAAAAGCUCGUAGUUGAAUCUAUGCUGGAGACAUGGUCCACCUUCGGGUGUGUACUAUGUUCUUCGGCUUUAUCGCUGGUUUUCUUGCCGUUGUCUUGAUUGAUCGCGGUAAGUGGCUGGCAAUUUUACUUUGAACAAAUCAGAGUGCUCAAAACAGGCGUUUCGUCUGAAUGAUUUUGCAUAGAAUAAUAGAAUAUGACUACGGUCAAGUUUUAUUGGUUUUAUUGAUCGUUGUAAUGAUUAAAAGAGACAAACGGGGGCAUUCGUAUUGUUGGGCGAGAGGUGAAAUUCUGUGACCCUAACAAGACGACCUACAGCGAAAGCAUUUGCCAAGCUUGUCUUCAUUAAUCAAGAACGAAAGUCAGAGGAUCGAAGGUGAUUAGAUACCGCCCUAGUUCUGACCGUAAACUAUGCCAACUAGCGAUUCGCCGGUGGAUGAUUUGCCCUGGCGAGGAGCUUCCCGGAAACGAAAGUCUUCCGGUUCCGGGGGAAGUAUGGUUGCAAAGCUGAAACUUAAAGGAAUUGACGGAAGGGCACCACCAGGAGUGGAGCCUGCGGCUUAAUUUGACUCAACACGGGAAAACUCACCCGGCCCGGACACUAUAAGGAUUGACAGAUUGAUAGCUCUUUCAUGAUUUGGUGGAUGGUGGUGCAUGGCCGUUCUUAGUUCGUGGAGUGAUUUGUCUGGUUUAUUCCGAUAACGAGCGAGAUUCUAAUCUACUAAAUAGUACACUCAUUCUUUCGUGGGUGUUACUUCCUAGAGAAAUAAUCGGUCUUUAAUCGCAUGAAAUUGAGCAAUAACAGGUCUGUGAUGCCCUUAGAUGUCCGGGGCUGCACGCGCGCUACACUAGUAGAGCCAACGUGCAUGUCCUUUCUCGAAAGAGAUUGGUAAACCAGGGAAAGUCUACUGUGAUUGGGAUCGGAAAUUGCAAUUAUUUUCUGUGAACGAGGAAUUCCAAGUAAGUGUGAGUCAUCAACUCGCGCUGAUUACGUCCCUGCCCUUUGUACACACCGCCCGUCGCUGCCCGGGACUGAGACAUUUCGAGAAAUUUGGGGACUGCCGUCCGAUCGUCCUUUCGGGGAUGGUCUUUUGGUGGAAACCAACUUAAUCGUAGCGUCUUGAACCGGGCAAAAGUCGUAACAAGGUGGCUGUAGGUGAACCUGCUGCCG
This 1794-nucleotide ribosomal RNA is filed under the name Tricholoma sp. MG99. RNAcentral describes it as "SSU rRNA". It matches the Rfam family "Eukaryotic small subunit ribosomal RNA". Lineage: Eukaryota; Fungi; Basidiomycota; Agaricomycetes; Agaricales; Tricholomataceae. The record is from RNAcentral.